AUUGAACGCUGGCGGCAGGCCUAACACAUGCAAGUCGAGCGGCAGCGGAAAGUAGCUUGCUACUUUGCCGGCGAGCGGCGGACGGGUGAGUAAUGUCUGGGAAACUGCCUGAUGGAGGGGGAUAACUACUGGAAACGGUAGCUAAUACCGCAUAACCUCGAAAGAGCAAAGUGGGGGAUCUUCGGACCUCACGCCAUCGGAUGUGCCCAGAUGGGAUUAGCUAGUAGGUGAGGUAAUGGCUCACCUAGGCGACGAUCCCUAGCUGGUCUGAGAGGAUGACCAGCCACACUGGAACUGAGACACGGUCCAGACUCCUAACGGGAGGCAGCAGUGGAAGAUU
RNAcentral lists this ribosomal RNA (340 nucleotides) under uncultured bacterium. RNAcentral's name for it is "bacterial SSU rRNA". It matches the Rfam family "Bacterial small subunit ribosomal RNA", at positions 30 to 363 of the family's 1533-position model. The record is from RNAcentral.